CUCACGUUGGUGUGAGCCUUGGGUCACCGGAGGGCUCCCCUGAUGGUGCUGAGUUUGCCCCCACACUGGGGAUGACUGGCAGUUGGCUGAUGUGGGAUGGCAAACCCAGGGGCCCUGAGGAAGCUCAGCUGCAUGCUUCCGAGCCUUGUAGACUUACCUGAUGGUUGUCAUCCACAAGCCCGCUCACGGAACAAGGUGAAAUGACACUACUAUUGGAAAGAAUUAAGUUGUGAUAACGUCACGAUGAUGAAGACAGAGCAAUACCAAAACUACAUCAAUAAAGACAAC
This is a long non-coding RNA of Fukomys damarensis (Damara mole-rat), 288 nucleotides long. RefSeq lists it as uncharacterized. The record is from RefSeq and is a predicted model, not a curated record. Lineage: Eukaryota; Metazoa; Chordata; Mammalia; Rodentia; Bathyergidae. The transcript is spliced from 3 exons.